GAUAAACGCUGGCGGCGUGCCUAAUACAUGCAAGUCGAGCGAACGGACGAGAAGCUUGCUUCUCUGAUGUUAGCGGCGGACGGGUGAGUAACACGUGGAUAACCUACCUAUAAGACUGGGAUAACUUCGGGAAACCGGAGCUAAUACCGGAUAAUAUUUUGAACCGCAUGGUUCAAAAGUGAAAGACGGUCUUGCUGUCACUUAUAGAUGGAUCCGCGCUGCAUUAGCUAGUUGGUAAGGUAACGGCUUACCAAGGCAACGAUGCAUAGCCGACCUGAGAGGGUGAUCGGCCACACUGGAACUGAGACACGGUCCAGACUCCUACGGGAGGCAGCAGUAGGGAAUCUUCCGCAAUGGGCGAAAGCCUGACGGAGCAACGCCGCGUGAGUGAUGAAGGUCUUCGGAUCGUAAAACUCUGUUAUUAGGGAAGAACAUAUGUGUAAGUAACUGUGCACAUCUUGACGGUACCUAAUCAGAAAGCCACGGCUAACUACGUGCCAGCAGCCGCGGUAAUACGUAGGUGGCAAGCGUUAUCCGGAAUUAUUGGGCGUAAAGCGCGCGUAGGCGGUUUUUUAAGUCUGAUGUGAAAGCCCACGGGCUCAUCCGUGGAGGGUCAUUGGAAACUGGAAAACUUGAGUGCAGAAGAGGAAAGUGGAAUUCCAUGUGUAGCGGUGAAAUGCGCAGAGAUAUGGAGGAACACCAGUGGCGAAGGCGACUUUCUGGUCUGUAACUGACGCUGAUGUGCGAAAGCGUGGGGAUCAAACAGGAUUAGAUACCCUGGUAGUCCACGCCGUAAACGAUGAGUGCUAAGUGUUAGGGGGUUUCCGCCCCUUAGUGCUGCAGCUAACGCAUUAAGCACUCCGCCUGGGGAGUACGACCGCAAGGUUGAAACUCAAAGGAAUUGACGGGGACCCGCACAAGCGGUGGAGCAUGUGGUUUAAUUCGAAGCAACGCGAAGAACCUUACCAAAUCUUGACAUCCUUUGACAACUCUAGAGAUAGAGCCUUCCCCUUCGGGGGACAAAGUGACAGGUGGUGCAUGGUUGUCGCCAGCUCGUGUCGUGAGAUGUUGGGUUAAGUCCCGCAACGAGCGCAACCCUUAAGCUUAGUUGCCAUCAUUAAGUUGGGCACUCUAAGUUGACUGCCGGUGACAAACCGGAGGAAGGUGGGGAUGACGUCAAAUCAUCAUGCCCCUUAUGAUUUGGGCUACACACGUGCUACAAUGGACAAUACAAAGGGCAGCGAAACCGCGAGGUCAAGCAAAUCCCAUAAAGUUGUUCUCAGUUCGGAUUGUAGUCUGCAACUCGACUACAUGAAGCUGGAAUCGCUAGUAAUCGUAGAUCAGCAUGCUACGGUGAAUACGUUCCCGGGUCU
RNAcentral lists this ribosomal RNA (1373 nucleotides) under uncultured bacterium. RNAcentral describes it as "bacterial SSU rRNA". It matches the Rfam family "Bacterial small subunit ribosomal RNA", at positions 28 to 1381 of the family's 1533-position model. The record is from RNAcentral.